AUGCAGGUCUGGUGUAUCACCAAGAUUCUGAGUCAGCAAGUUUGGCAAGAGGGAUUCACAAUUUGAGUUUUAACAGGCACCAGUUGAUGCUGAUUCUGAUGGUCUCAUGUGGCACCCUCAGAGGAACAAUAGAAGAAUUGCAGAAUAAGGAGAAGGAGGAGCAGCAACUGGAGCAGCAGGAAGACAAGGAGGAUGAAGAGGAAGAGGAGAAGGAGACGGCAGUAAAGAAGAUAGAGAAGCAAGAUUGAGGAGAGCCCAGCAUAAACAUCACUACAAAUACCCAUUCAUGGGUUGUA
RNAcentral lists this long non-coding RNA (296 nucleotides) under Homo sapiens (human). RNAcentral's name for it is "HSALNT0320079". Lineage: Eukaryota; Metazoa; Chordata; Mammalia; Primates; Hominidae. The record is from RNAcentral.